UACGUAGGUCCCCGAGCGUUGCGCGAAUUCACUGGGCGUAAAGCGCCCGUAGCCGGCUCGGCGUGUCUCUCGUUAAAUCCACAGGCCUAACCUGUGGGCUGCGGGAGAUACUGCCGGGCUUGGGGGUGGGAGAGGCGCCCGGUAUUCCCGGGGUAGGGGUAAAAUCCUCUGAUCCCGGGAGGACCAUCAGUGGCGAAGGCGGGGCGCCAGAACACGCCCGACGGUGAGGGGCGAAAGCUGGGGGAGCAAACGGGAUUAGAAA
This 262-nucleotide ribosomal RNA is filed under the name uncultured bacterium. Its description in RNAcentral is "partial 16S ribosomal RNA". It matches the Rfam family "Bacterial small subunit ribosomal RNA", at positions 524 to 784 of the family's 1533-position model. The record is from RNAcentral.